GGACAGAAGGGAGCUUGCUCCCGGAUGUUAGCGGCGGACGGGUGAGUAACACGUGGGUAACCUGCCUGUAAGACUGGGAUAACUCCGGGAAACCGGAGCUAAUACCGGAUAGUUCCUUGAACCGCAUGGUUCAAGGAUGAAAGACGGUUUCGGCUGUCACUUACAGAUGGACCCGCGGCGCAUUAGCUAGUUGGUGAGGUAACGGCUCACCAAGGCGACGAUGCGUAGCCGACCUGAGAGGGUGAUCGGCCACACUGGGACUGAGACACGGCCCAGACUCCUACGGGAGGCAGCAGUAGGGAAUCUUCCGCAAUGGACGAAAGUCUGACGGAGCAACGCCGCGUGAGUGAUGAAGGUUUUCGGAUCGUAAAGCUCUGUUGUUAGGGAAGAACAAGUGCAAGAGUAACUGCUUGCACCUUGACGGUACCUAACCAGAAAGCCACGGCUAACUACGUGCCAGCAGCCGCGGUAAUACGUAGGUGGCAAGCGUUGUCCGGAAUUAUUGGGCGUAAAGGGCUCGCAGGCGGUUUCUUAAGUCUGAUGUGAAAGCCCCCGGCUCAACCGGGGAGGGUCAUUGGAAACUGGGAAACUUGAGUGCAGAAGAGGAGAGUGGAAUUCCACGUGUAGCGGCGAAAUGCGUAGAGAUGUGGAGGAACACCAGUGGCGAAGGCGACUCUCUGGUCUGUAACUGACGCUGAGGAGCGAAAGCGUGGGGAGCGAACAGGAUUAGAUACCCUGGUAGUCCACGCCGUAAACGAUGAGUGCUAAGUGUUAGGGGGUUUCCGCCCCUUAGUGCUGCAGCUAACGCAUUAAGCACUCCGCCUGGGGGAGUACGGUCGCAAGACUGAAACUCAAAGGAAUUGACGGGGGCCCGCACAAGCGGUGGAGCAUGUGGCUUAAUUCGAA
RNAcentral lists this ribosomal RNA (906 nucleotides) under Bacillus pumilus. RNAcentral describes it as "bacterial SSU rRNA". It matches the Rfam family "Bacterial small subunit ribosomal RNA", at positions 66 to 955 of the family's 1533-position model. The record is from RNAcentral. Lineage: Bacteria; Bacillati; Bacillota; Bacilli; Caryophanales; Bacillaceae.